CCUACGGGGCGCAGCAGUGGGGGAUAUUGCACAAUGGGGGAAACCCUGAUGCAGCGACGCCGCGUGGGCGAAGAAGUAUUUCGGUAUGUAAAGCCCUAUCAGCAGGCAAGAAGAAAUGACGGUACCUGAGUAAGAAGCACCGGCUAAAUACGUGCCAGCAGCCGCGGUAAUACGUAUGGUGCAAGCAUUAUCCGGAUUUACUGGGUGUAAAGGGAGCGCAGGCGGCACGGCAAGCCUGAUGUGAAAGCCCGCGGCCCAACCGCGGGACUGCAUUGGGAACUACCGGGCUGGAGUGCCGGAGAGGUAAGUGGAAUUCCUAGUGUAGCGGUGAAAUGCGUAGAUAUUAGGAGGAACACCAGUGGCGAAGGCGGCUUACUGGACUGUAACUGACGUUGAGGCUCGAAAGCGUGGGGAGCAAACAGGAUUAGAUACCCCGGUAGUC
Molecule: ribosomal RNA, 442 nt
Filed under: uncultured bacterium
Lineage: Bacteria
Description: partial 16S ribosomal RNA
Rfam family: Bacterial small subunit ribosomal RNA
Source: RNAcentral